Molecule: ribosomal RNA, 498 nt
Filed under: uncultured bacterium
Lineage: Bacteria
Description: partial 16S ribosomal RNA
Rfam family: Bacterial small subunit ribosomal RNA
Source: RNAcentral
AUUGAACGCUGGCGGCAUGCCUUACACAUGCAAGUCGAACGGUAACAGGUCUUCGGAUGCUGACGAGUGGCGAACGGGUGAGUAAUACAUCGGAACGUGCCUAGUAGUGGGGGAUAACUACUCGAAAGAGUGGCUAAUACCGCAUGAGAUCUACGGAUGAAAGCAGGGGAUCGCAAGACCUUGUGCUACUAGAGCGGCCGAUGGCAGAUUAGGUAGUUGGUGGGAUAACAGCUUACCAAGCCGACGAUCUGUAGCUGGUCUGAGAGGACGGUGGGCCACACUGGGGCUGAGAAGCGGCCCAGACUCCUGCGGGAGGCGGCAGUGGGGAAUUUUGGACAAUGGGCGCAAGCCUGAUCCAGCAACGCCGCGUGCAGGAUGAAGGCCUUCGGGUUGUAAACUGCUUUUGUACGGAACGAAAAGCCCCGGGUUAAUACCCUGGGGUCAUGACGGUACCGUAAGAAUAAGCACCGGCUAACUACGUGCCAGCCGCCGCCGUAA